GACGGAGCCAGCGAGUCUAACCUUGGCCGAGAGGUCUUGGUAAUCUUGUGAAACUCCGUCGUGC
Molecule: ribosomal RNA, 64 nt
Filed under: Saccharomyces cerevisiae (brewer's yeast)
Lineage: Eukaryota; Fungi; Ascomycota; Saccharomycetes; Saccharomycetales; Saccharomycetaceae
Description: strain ALI 308 18S ribosomal RNA gene, partial sequence from Saccharomyces cerevisiae (PDB 5YDT, chain SA)
Source: RNAcentral